GACGAACGCUGGCGGCGUGCUUAACACAUGCAAGUCGAACGGAAAGGCCCUGCUUUUGUGGGGUGCUCGAGUGGCGAACGGGUGAGUAACACGUGAGUAACCUGCCCUUUACUUUGGGAUAACUUCAGGAAACUGGGGCUAAUACCGGAUAGGAGCUCCUGCUGCAUGGUGGGGGUUGGAAAGUUUCGGCGGUUGGGGAUGGACUCGCGGCUUAUCAGCGUGUUGGUGGGGUAGUGGCUUACCAAGGCUUUGACGGGUAGCCGGCCUGAGAGGGUGAGCGGCCACAUUGGGACUGAGAUACGGCACAGACUCCUACGGGAGGGAGCAGUGGGGAAUAUUGCACAAUGGGCGGAAGCCUGAUGCAGCAACGCCGCGUGCGGGAUGACGGCCUUCGGGUUGUAAACCGCUUUCGCCUGUGACGAAGCGUGAGUGACGGUAAUGGGUAAAGAAGCACCGGCUAACUACGUG
This 468-nucleotide ribosomal RNA is filed under the name uncultured bacterium. RNAcentral's name for it is "partial 16S ribosomal RNA". It matches the Rfam family "Bacterial small subunit ribosomal RNA", at positions 28 to 507 of the family's 1533-position model. The record is from RNAcentral.